AUAGAAGGAACCCUUUGUUGACUUAUAGUCAAGCAGUGUCAAAAGCACAGCAGGAAAUUAUCAUUAGCCAAUCUGGACUUCAGCUUCAUCAGCUUCUGAAGGAGAGCAAUUUAGGUAGAAAGUCAAUCACAUCUGUAACUUCGGUCAACCUAUCCAUGUGAUUCUUCUCUGGAGGAGGGUGACUGAACUUUCCAAGACAGACUGAACUUUUCUGUUUACCACCAUGAAACAUAACUACAAUGAAGAAGAUGCAGCCUUUAUCUCUCUGCUCUGUAUGAAAUUUGACCUGUGAUUCAUAAGAGCAAUGAGAUGGAAGAAAUGGACUCUAAAAGAAGCUCAAAGGCAGAGAUUUUGCUGAAUGAUGACAGCAGACCGAAGGAGCCUCCGGAAAUUUUAGGUCAGCAUAGUACUUCUCUGAAAAUAUUCAAAAGUGAAGGAGUUGAGAAUCCGGCCUAAAGUAGGCAAGACCAAGAGCUUUGUGAUUUGCACAAGGAGGCUUCUCUCCUAAUCCAGGUAAGGUAGAAAGGAGG
RNAcentral lists this long non-coding RNA (530 nucleotides) under Anas platyrhynchos platyrhynchos (common mallard). Its description in RNAcentral is "lncRNA (ENSAPLG00000020215.1)". Lineage: Eukaryota; Metazoa; Chordata; Aves; Anseriformes; Anatidae. The record is from RNAcentral.